UACGUAGGGGGCUAGCGUUAUCCGGAAUUACUGGGCGUAAAGGGUGCGUAGGUGGUUUCUUAAGUCAGAGGUGAAAGGCUACGGCUCAACCGUAGUAAGCCUUUGAAACUGAGAAACUUGAGUGCAGGAGGGGAGAGUAGAAUUCCUAGUGUAGCGGUGAAAUGCGUAGAUAUUAGGAGGAAUACCAGUUGCGAAGGCGGCUCUCUGGACUGUAACUGACACUGAGGCACGAAAGCGUGGGGAGCAAACAGG
Molecule: ribosomal RNA, 252 nt
Filed under: uncultured bacterium
Lineage: Bacteria
Description: partial 16S ribosomal RNA
Rfam family: Bacterial small subunit ribosomal RNA
Source: RNAcentral